Molecule: ribosomal RNA, 20 nt
Filed under: Echinodorus grandiflorus
Lineage: Eukaryota; Viridiplantae; Streptophyta; Magnoliopsida; Alismatales; Alismataceae
Also listed under: 1 other name
Description: partial 18S ribosomal RNA
Source: RNAcentral
UGCGGAAGGAUCAUUGUCGG